GAUGAACGCUGGCGGCGUGCCUAAUACAUGCAAGUCGAGCGAAAACACGAGGAUCUUGCUCCUCUGACGUUACCGACGGACGGGUGAGUAACACGUAGAUAACCUACCUAUAAGACUGGGAUAACUACGGGAAACCGGAUCUAAUACAGGAUAAUAUAUUGAACCGCAUGGUUCAAUAGUGCAAGCCGGUUUUGCUGUCACUUAUAGAUGGAUCCACGCCGCAUUAGCUAGUUGGUAAGGUAACGGCUUACCAAGGCAACGAUGCGUAGCCGACCUGAGAGGACGAUCGGCCACACUGGAACUGAGACACGGUCCAGACUCCUACGGGAGGCAGCAGUAGGGAAUCUUGCGCAAAGGGGGAAAGCCUGAUCGAGCAAUGCCGCGUGAGUGAUGAAGGUCUUCGGAUUGUAAAACGCUGUUAUUAGGGAAGAACAAAUGUGUGAGAAUCUAUGCACGGCAUGACGGUACCGGAUCAGAAAGCAACGGCUAACUACGUG
RNAcentral lists this ribosomal RNA (497 nucleotides) under uncultured bacterium. RNAcentral's name for it is "partial 16S ribosomal RNA". It matches the Rfam family "Bacterial small subunit ribosomal RNA", at positions 28 to 507 of the family's 1533-position model. The record is from RNAcentral.